AUUGAACGCUGGCGGCAGGCCUAACACAUGCAAGUCGAACGGUAGCACAGAGAGCUUGCUCUCGGGUGACGAGUGGCGGACGGGUGAGUAAUGUCUGGGAAACUGCCCGAUGGAGGGGGAUAACUACUGGAAACGGUAGCUAAUACCGCAUAACGUCGCAAGACCAAAGUGGGGGACCUUCGGGCCUCACACCAUCGGAUGUGCCCAGAUGGGAUUAGCUAGUAGGUGGGAUAAUGGCUCACCUAGGCGACGAUCCCUAGCUGGUCUGCGAGGAUGACCGGCCACAAUGGAACUGCGACACGGUCCAGACUCCUACGGGAGGCAGCAGUAGGGAAUAUUGCACAAUGGGCGCAAGACUGAUGCAGCCAUGCCGCGUGUAUGAAGAAGGCCUUCGGGUUGUAAAGUACUUUCAGCGGGGAGGAAGGCGGUGAAGUUAAUAGCUUCACCGAUUGACGUUACCCGCAGAAGAAGCACCGGCUAACUCCGUGCCAGACGCCGCGGUAA
RNAcentral lists this ribosomal RNA (504 nucleotides) under uncultured bacterium. RNAcentral's name for it is "partial 16S ribosomal RNA". It matches the Rfam family "Bacterial small subunit ribosomal RNA", at positions 30 to 523 of the family's 1533-position model. The record is from RNAcentral.